This 3002-nucleotide ribosomal RNA is filed under the name Pycnococcus provasolii. RNAcentral describes it as "large subunit ribosomal RNA". It matches the Rfam family "Bacterial large subunit ribosomal RNA". The record is from RNAcentral. Lineage: Eukaryota; Viridiplantae; Chlorophyta; Pseudoscourfieldiophyceae; Pseudoscourfieldiales; Pycnococcaceae.
CAUUUUUACAAAUAAAAGCUUUUGGUAAACGUGUUAGGCAUGCUUUAAUGACAAACGUUUUUUGCCGAAAAAGCGAAGGAAGCUCUUGUUGCUUUUUUUAGUCUACUUAGGCGUUAGUAAUAAGUAGGUAAAAAAUAAACUUCGCUGUUUUUUUGAGAAAUCUCUGGUCAGUUUUACUCCUGUAAGAUGAAUCUUCUGCGAAACAGGAACUGAAAUUAACAAAGACCCCGCUAAUAUUAGAGAAAAGUGAGCGGGUAUGUAGUUAGUUAAGCUGUAUUAGUUUUUAGCAAUGUAAAAAAUAAACUAAUCCGUUAAACGGGACCUUAGUAAGUGAUAGUCUUGUAUUUUCGUUGUUUUAGCUUAAUAAUAUCUUUAACUUUUAAAGUUUUGGAAAAGCUCCUCCUUUGUUGCUACAAGACGUAAAGCAUGAUCCAUAGAGAAUUAGUACUGUGAAGGAACACAAAUAACCUUGUAAGGUUAAUCUUUUAUUAUAAAACGAAAACUAAACCUAAAGCAAGUCGCUGUUUUCUUUUUUGUCAAAACGUACCUUUGGUAUAAUGGUUCUGUGAGUUUUUUAAAGACGUGGCAUUCUCUAAUGGAACUAGAAAAUUUUUCAAUUUCGGUUUCGUACCAAGAAUUAGAUGCCUAAUCGUACGCGAAAAAGCUUUAGUGAAAACAAAAACAGCUAAAUAAUUUAGUUAGGUUAGUAAUUUUUUUUGAUCAAAAAUACUUUAUUUUUAAACGAGAAUUUUCCUAUUCAAAAAUCAAAAACGAGAAUUUUGCCAUUCAAAAAAAAUUUAUUCCCCAAAACACGUACGGCCUUUGGCUUUCCACGCACUGCACUGCGUCGAAAGGAGGGUUUUUCCUCAUACUAAAACACGUACGGCCUUUGGCUUUCGACGCACUGCACUGCGUCGAAAGCUAACUACGUUAUUCAAAGUUGUUUUUUCUAAUGUCGCUUUAAAAAGACCCGAAUUCAAACGAGCUAUCCACUUCCUGGUCGAAUCUGUUGCAUCCAAUAUGAGAAGGACCGAACCCGUGUUUGUGGCAAUAAACUGGGAUGAGAUGUGGAUAGGAGUGAAAGGCUUAUCAAGUUUGGGGUUAGCUGGUUCUCCACGAAAAGUGUGUUGGCACUAACAAUUGCUCAUUUUGUGUGGGUAGAGUUCCUUUAAUGUAAAAGAGGGGUUGUUUGCCCUGCCUUUUAUUUUAUUAGCUCCAAAUCACAUAAAACGCAAAAAUUGAAACAGAGAUUUGGUGCUAAGAUCAUUUCUCUAAAGGGUAACAGCCCUAAAUGCUCUUUAAGGUCCUUAAGCACGUAGCUAAAAUAAUUUGAUAUUCGACAUAGCUUUAAAGUAGGCUUGGAAUCAGCCACCUUUUAUGAACGCGUAAUAGUGCAAAAUCGUAAAUAUUAAAAAUUUUUAAUGUUUUGGGUUUUUUGGCGCCGAAAAGGCAUAUUAUCAACAAAAAAAUAAUGGUAGUGGAGUGUUCUGUAAAAAUACAUUUUUUAAGAUUGUAAACAAUUAAAUUGCAUAAUCAGAAGAAAAAAUACAGGAAUGAGUAACAUGUUUUUUUAUCGAAUUAAAAACGCCGUAAACGCUUGGUUUCCUUUUUUUUGAUAAAAAGGGUUAAGCAAGUUCUAAAAAAAGCCCGAACGGGUGAGCUUGAUGAAGUUAAAAAAAGUUUGGUUUAGAAGUAGUAAUUAGUUUGUGCAGCUAGUUCGUUGGCUCGCGCUAUUUUCAGCUAAAACUCUUUUCUGGAAAUACCAACCUUUUUUAUGAUUGUACUAAAACCAACACCGGUUUGUUUGUUUUCUUCAAUGAAGGCGUUUGGGUUAAUUUUUGUAAAGGAAUUCGGCAAAUUUACUCUGUACUUUCGAAAUAAGGAGGUUUGUGCAAGUGUUUUGCAUAAAAUUGUAAAAAGAGAAGAGCGACUGUUUAUCAACAACACAGGACUUUGCAAAGGAGAAAUCUUUAGUAUAAAGUUCGAAACCUGCCCAUUACUUGUAACAAAAAAUACAAAGUUUUUUGCUUUUUUUUAAUGUCUCGUAAAUGGCGGCGAUAACCCUGAUCGUCCUAAGGUAGCGAAAUUCCUUGUCGGCUAAUUACCGACCCGCAUGAAUGGUGUAACGACUCUUCUGCUGUCUUUACAAAACACCCAGUGAAAUUGAAAUUUUUGUGAAGAUGCAAAAAUUUUUUAGAAAGACGGGAAGACCCUUUGAACCUUUACAACAAAUAUUCCUUGAAAAAAACAAUUAGUCUGUUUAGAAUAGGCAGAGGUUUAAUAUCAAUAAUGAAAUACUGCCCUACUAAUCUUGUUUUUUUCUAAUCUUUUUAGGGAGACAUGGCAUGUUUGGUUGUUUUGCUGGGGCGGUAUCCUCUCAAAAAGUAUCGGAGGUGUUUAUAAAGUAAAAAAGAAAAAAAAAGAACUUUUUUUUAAGUACAAGGAUUAUCUUUUUGCUUGAUGAUAAAAACGGUAGUUUAAGUCAGGACGAAAGUCUAACCUAUUGAUCCAACGUUAUUUAGAGGAAAAGUCGUUGCUAUCAGAUUACAAGGUACUCUAGGGAUAACAGGCUAAUUCUACCAAAAAGUUCUUAUUAACGGUAGUGCUUGGCACCUCGAUGUCGACUCAUCUCGUCCUGGAGCUGCAGGCGGUUCCAAGGGUUUGGUUGUUCGCCAAAAAAAGAGGUACGUGAGUUGGGUUCAGAACGUCGUAAGACAGUUUGGCUCCUAUCUCCUAAAAAUGUAAGGUAACUAACUUAGAGUUGAAGUAAUAGAUCUUGUGUACGAAAGGAUCAAGGUGUAAUGACCGCUGGUAAAUCCGUUGUUUUAUAAACACGCGUUGAAUUGCUAAGUCGUAUACAGCUAACAAUUGAAAACAACAAUAUUGGAAGCUUUUACUAAAAAAAACUCUAAAAAAAGGGUAGAAUUCCCUUUUUCGCAACUGCCUUUGUUUUUGUAUAAAGUUUUCGCAAAAAGUAUGCAAACUUGUUUUUUAAAAGUUAG